GUUUGACCACAUGUGUCUGGGCAGAGCAACAGGGAGAUGGGAGCAUGUGGAAGAGGAGGGUGUACUUCUCAUGCGCCCAGAAGAUGGACCUUUCCAUCCCUGAACCUCAAAUGCUUGAACCCUGUGGGUGCCGGAUGUGACAGGAUGGGCACAUCGUUUUCCACCAGAGGAACUGCCUGAAUGGAAGCCAGGUACCUGCAUGCAUCCCGUGAGCCCUGGCCAUCUGGUGUGAUUUCCUCAGGUGGGUCGUUGGUGAGCUCUUUCCUUGGUUUUGUGGACAGUCUAUUUGUCGACCCUGAGCUGGUUAAAAGACCAUAUUUCGAUAGCAAUCUCUUUAGUCUGCUUUCAGAAUAUUUGCUUUGCGGUUAUCUGUUUGUUUGUUUGUUUGAAAGCAUUUUGUUCUAAUAUUUGGUUUGGUUUGCUUGCUUGCAUUCAGAAUUCUAAAGGCAAUUUAGAUUCUGCUAUUUGGCUCCUUUUCAGUAUUUUAUCUGCUUCUGAGACUUUGAAGGCAUUUUAGUUUCUGUUUUGUUGUGGUUUUUCUUGUCCUUGAAAUGUUUAUAUCACUUGACCUUUGCUUCCUGACAUUUGACCUUUGCUUCCUGAUGUUCCUCAAAUGCUUAAUUCUGCCUUUUUUUCUGCUACUUCUCCUGUGACCUUGUCAAACCUUUAGCUUAGGAGUUUUAUGAUAGGGACACUGAAGGGGAGAGGCACUUGUUCGCCCCCACCCCAAACCACACUACAGAGUUAGGCGUCAGGGGGAAUGCCUCGCUGUGUGCAACAGCCUCAAGGGAACUCAGCAAAUGUGCCUAUUCUGGGUCAGAAGACAUUUCACUGGCUCGUCCGUCUGCCUGGGAAGACACCGGUUUGUUCACCUAGAGUCUUGAGCGCCCUCACGCUUAUGUAACAUGUAAGGAAGACCCAGUAGGAGAAGUUGGUUUCAGGGUAAAAGCUGAGAAAGCCUUUGCCAAAAGCAGCACAGAAAACUGACCAAAACCACAUAGUCUCUAGCUAGUACAGAUGGGUAACUUCUCAGAAUAGAAAAAGAAAGAGAAUAUAUAUAUAUAUAUAUAUAUAUAAGGCGGCAAUGAGGUUUCCACAGAGGGGGAACUGCCUGGAGGUAAAUGGCCAUCUGCCUUUCCAGCAGCUCUAGGAGUGAUAAUUGCUGACUAACUUGCAAGUGUUUGGAAAAAACACACUAAAGAUAACCCAAACAGUUACCUCCAGAGUAGGAGGCAAUAAAAGCAAAGUCCUAGGCAAAAAUCACAAACAGGCAGCUGGCUUUAACUGAGAUGUAAAAUGAUCUCCCAAAACUGAUCAAGUAGGCAAUUCAUAACAAAUAGCUCUUAAGCCAGAGGAGUUAAAGUAGAUGCUAAAAUAAAAAAUUAAUAAAAACUUUUGGGAGGUUUAUGUCAAAGGUCAAUUCUGAGAUAGCUCUCCUCUCCUCCCUCUUCCCCCACCCUUCCCCCUCUUUUCCCUCUUCCUCCCUUUUCCCCUCCUUUUUCUCUGGUCUGCUCAUCGUGGCCUCCUACCUUACCUUCUCUUGAGCAGCUUUGUUCCCUUUAACUCCCACGCUUAUAUCAACAUGUCUUAACCAGCUCUAAAAGUCCUUUUGGCCUUAAAACCCCAAAUCUCAGCUUGGACUGAGCUUAGGGGAUCACGUCAGACUAUUAAAGAUAACCAAAUGCAUCUGUCUGUGUCCCCUCUGCAGCAAUCCUGGGGACUUAUCCUGAGCCCCAUCUUCAAGCAUCUUGGGGAGUUUCCCUGUUUGCUAUCUUGACCUGUCAAUCCUCCUAAACAUGGGGUUCUGGGUCCCUCUUAUCUAACAAGAAACUCUCUAAAUGUUUAAGUGCCACCGACACCAACGGUAGACAUUUCCCAGAGCCACCAGCUCUGCUACUGGGUCACAUGUGGCUUUUUCAGGAGAACUUCAUCAUCAAAACUGAUCCCCGGAGUAACCAGUCUAUUAGAAAUCACUCUCAAGAGAUACAUGUGUCUCAGCUGACUGUCACUAUUGAAGCCAUGGAACCUCAGGACAUAGGAGUUCCCCAGAAAUCUCAUGUUGGGAGUGGGAAGGGCACCAGCUGGAGGGGGACCUUGUCUCCCUGAUUUCAAACAGUUCUAGCAACUUUUCUAAUCCCUCAGAGAGACUGAAGCCUGAUGACGGCACCACCUCCACCAGGUCUGAUUAGUCUUGCAUAGCCUCAGCCCUCUAUACACUGACCUCACUCCAGGUCCCGAGACAAACUUGCAGGUUUGAUGGAUCUUACUGUCUCCCUUCCCAGUGUUGAUCACACGACUAAAUCUCCUUUUUGUCCAUUCCACUUUUCAUUUGGCUCUUUUAAUGGUCUCAAAUCUUUUUUUUUUGUGGGGGGGCAACUAACGUGAGUUUUUAGAUUAAAAAAAAUUAAAUCUGCUUUUAAGAACAAGAUGUGAUCUCCUGAUUCUUAACCCAGUCUGGUUUACAACAUGGACCCUAACCCUCGAGGGUGGAAAGUAACUGUAUGAUGCUCCUUCUCUAGGAUAUGUUUUUCCCAGUGAACAACCGCCACCCUCGGCACACUAAACUCUAGCCCAUAGACUAACAGGCUAACUCACACCUGUGCUUUCAGUAGGUCUCCUUCACAUGUGUUUGUAUGUGCACCAACAUUUCAAGGGUGCUUUUGAGCAGCGCUGCCUCUUUAAAAAUAAACGAGGGGAUGAGCAGGGUUUUAAGCAGGGUUGCGUACCUUGGCAAG
This is a long non-coding RNA of Alexandromys fortis (reed vole), 2735 nucleotides long. RefSeq lists it as uncharacterized. The record is from RefSeq and is a predicted model, not a curated record. The transcript has 3 exons. Lineage: Eukaryota; Metazoa; Chordata; Mammalia; Rodentia; Cricetidae.